AUUGAACGCUGGCGGCAUGCCUUACACAUGCAAGUCGAACGGCAGCACGGACUUCGGUCUGGUGGCGAGUGGCGAACGGGUGAGUAAUGUACCGGAACGUACCUUUCAGUGGGGAUAACGUAGCGAAAGUUACGCUAAUACCGCAUAUUCUGUGAGCAGGAAAGCAGGGGAUCGCAAGACCUUGCGCUGAUUGAGCGGCCGAUAUCAGAUUAGCUAGUUGGUGAGGUAAAGGCUCACCAAGGCGACGAUCUGUAGCGGGUCUGAGAGGAUGAUCCGCCACACUGGAACUGAGACACGGUCCAGACUCCUACGGGAGGCAGCAGUGGGGAAUUUUGGACAAUGGGGGCAACCCUGAUCCAGCCAUGCCGCGUGAGUGAAGAAGGCCUGGUGUAAG
RNAcentral lists this ribosomal RNA (394 nucleotides) under uncultured bacterium. RNAcentral describes it as "bacterial SSU rRNA". It matches the Rfam family "Bacterial small subunit ribosomal RNA", at positions 30 to 429 of the family's 1533-position model. The record is from RNAcentral.